CAUUCAAGUUUCUGACCUAUCAGCUUUCGACGGUAGUGUAUUGGACUACCGUGGCAGUGACGGGUAACGGGGAAUUAGGGUUCGAUUCCGGAGAGGGAGCCUGAGAAACGGCUACCACAUCUAAGGAAGGCAGCAGGCGCGCAAAUUACCCAAUCCUGACUCAGGGAGGUAGUGACAAGAAAUAACAACACUGGAAAUCCAGUUUCUAGUGAUUGGAAU
Molecule: ribosomal RNA, 219 nt
Filed under: Sarcocystis hirsuta
Lineage: Eukaryota; Apicomplexa; Conoidasida; Eucoccidiorida; Sarcocystidae
Description: partial small subunit ribosomal RNA
Rfam family: Eukaryotic small subunit ribosomal RNA
Source: RNAcentral